GAGGAAUAUUGGUCAAUGGACGCAAGUCUGAACCAGCCACGUCGCGUGAAGGAGGCGGCCCUACGGGUUUUAAACCUUUUUUAUUAGGGAAUAAAGUGCCCCCCCCGUGGGGGUUUGGAAGUUACGUUCCGAUAAGGAUACGCCAACUCCGGUGCAGCAGCCGCGGUAAUACGGAGGAUCCGAGCGUUAUCCGGAUUUAUUGGGUUUAAAGGGUGCUCAGGCGGGGGAUUAAGUCGGCGGUGAAAUUUUGCAGCUCAACUGUAAAAGUGCCUUCGAAACUGGUUUCCUUGAGUGCGGAUGAGGUAGGCGGAAUUUGUGGUGUAGCGGUGAAAUGCAUAGAUAUCACGAGGAACUCCGAUUGCGCAGGCAGCUUACCAAGCCGUAACUGACGCUCAAGCACGAAGGCGUGGGGAUCAAACA
This 420-nucleotide ribosomal RNA is filed under the name uncultured Proteiniphilum sp. RNAcentral's name for it is "bacterial SSU rRNA". It matches the Rfam family "Bacterial small subunit ribosomal RNA", at positions 356 to 774 of the family's 1533-position model. Lineage: Bacteria; Pseudomonadati; Bacteroidota; Bacteroidia; Bacteroidales; Dysgonomonadaceae. The record is from RNAcentral.